RNAcentral lists this ribosomal RNA (495 nucleotides) under uncultured bacterium. Its description in RNAcentral is "partial 16S ribosomal RNA". It matches the Rfam family "Bacterial small subunit ribosomal RNA", at positions 28 to 507 of the family's 1533-position model. The record is from RNAcentral.
GACGAACGCUGGCGGCGUGCCUAAUACAUGCAAGUAGAACGCUGAAGGAGGAGCUUGCUUCGCUGGAUGAGUUGCGAACGGGUGAGUAACACGUAGGUAACCUGCCUGGUAGCGGGGGAUAACGAUUGGAAACGAUAGCUAAUACCGCAUAAGAGUAGAUGUUGCAUGACAUUUGCUUAAAAGGUGCAAUUGCAUCACUACCAGAUGGACCUGCGUUGUAUUAGGUAGUUGGUGGGGUAACGGCUCACCAAGGCGACGAUACAUAGCCGACCUGAGAGGGUGAGCGGCCACACUGGGAAUGAGACGCGGGCCAGACUGCUACGGGAGGCAGCAGUAGCGGAUCUUCGGCAAUGGACGGAAGGCUGACCGAGCAACGCCGCGUGAGUGAAGAAGGUUUUCGGAUCGUAAAGGUCUGUUGUCAGAGAAGAACGAGUGUGAGAGUGGAAAGUUCACACUGUGACGGUAUCUUACAAGAAAGGGACGGCUAACUACGUG